This 337-nucleotide long non-coding RNA is filed under the name Sorghum bicolor (sorghum). Its description in RNAcentral is "long non-coding RNA (SBIC_LNC015367)". Lineage: Eukaryota; Viridiplantae; Streptophyta; Magnoliopsida; Poales; Poaceae. The record is from RNAcentral.
GCUAGGGUUCCUCGGACGCGCGUCUAACGGAAAAGAAAUCCGCUGGGAUACUUGGAAGCUUUAUAGGGCGCUGGGCAAACGUUUUGGCAAGCAAAUCCCGGAGUCCACGGUUUCGGUUCGGUGGAAAUCUCCCGGCCGAGUCCUACUCGCUCACGGCGAGAGGAGGGGGACGAGCGCCGCCCAGUGGGGCCCGCAUGUCAGCGGCAAGGAGGAGGGGGAAAGGAACGGGCCUAGCGGUCAGACAGAGAGGGGAGGGGGGUGCGCAUGCGCGCCCUGGCCGCGCAGCUGGGCCGCAGGGGUGCUGGGCCGCGCGCGGGGCUGGCUACGGCUGAGGGGU